AGAGUUUGAUCCUGGCUCAGGAUGAACGCUAGCUACAGGCUUAACACAUGCAAGUCGAGGGGCAUCAUGGCGGUCGCUUGCGACCGCUGAUGGCGACCGGCGCACGGGUGCGUAACGCGUAUCGAACCUGCCGCAUACCCGGGGAUAGCCUUGCGAAAGCAAGAUUAAUACCCGAUGUUCUCACUGUUCCGCAUGUUACGGUGAGCAAAGAAAUUCGGUAUGCGAUGGCGAUGCGUCCCAUUAGCUAGUUGGCGGGGUAACGGCCCACCAAGGCUCCGAUGGGUAGGGGUUCUGAGAGGAAGGUCCCCUACACUGGAACUGAGACACGGUCCAGACUCCUACGGGAGGCAGCAGUGAGGAAUAUUGGUCAAUGGACGCAAGUCUGAACCAGCCAAGUAGCGUGCAGGAUGACGGCCCUCCGGGUUGUAAACUGCUUUUAGUUGGGAAUAAAAGGGGGCUCGUGAGCCCCCGUAUUGUAUGUACCAUCAGAAAAAGGACCGGCUAAUUCCGUGCCAGCAGCCGCGGUAAUACGGAAGGUCCGGGCGUUAUCCGGAUUUAUUGGGUUUAAAGGGAGCGUAGGCCGGCUUUUAAGUCAGCUGUGAAAGUCCGCGGCUCAACCGUGGAAUUGCAGUUGAAACUGGAGGCCUUGAGUGCACACAGGGAUGCCGGAAUUCAUGGUGUAGCGGUGAAAUGCUUAGAUAUCAUGAAGAACUCCGAUCGCGAAGGCAAGUGUCCGGGGUGCAACUGACGCUGAGGCUCGAAAGUGCGGGUAUCAAACAGGAUUAGAUACCCUGGUAGUCCGCACCGUAAACGAUGAAUACUCGUGUCCCGCGAUAUAUUGUGGGACACUUAGCGAAAGCGUUAAGUAUUCCACCUGGGGAGUACGCCGGCAACGGUGAAACUCAAAGGAAUUGAC
Molecule: ribosomal RNA, 916 nt
Filed under: uncultured bacterium
Lineage: Bacteria
Description: bacterial SSU rRNA
Rfam family: Bacterial small subunit ribosomal RNA
Source: RNAcentral